AUUGAACGCUGGCGGCAGGCCUAACACAUGCAAGUCGAACGGUAGCACAGAGAGCUUGCUCUCGGGUGACGAGUGGCGGACGGGUGAGUAAUGUCUGGGAAACUGCCCGAUGGAGGGGGAUAACUACUGGAAACGGUAGCUAAUACCGCAUAACGUCGCAAGACCAAAGUGGGGGACCUUCGGGCCUCACACCAUCGGAUGUGCCCAGAUGGGAUUAGCUAGUAGGUGGGGUAAUGGCUCACCUAGGCGACGAUCCCUAGCUGGUCUGAGAGGAUGACCAGCCACACUGGAACUGAGACACGGUCCAGACUCCUACGGGAGGCAGCAGUGGGGAAUAUUGCACAAUGGGCGCAAGCCUGAUGCAGCCAUGCCGCGUGUAUGAAGAAGGCCUUCGGGUUGUAAAGUACUUUCAGCGGGGAGGAAGGCGGUGAAGUUAAUAGCUUCACCGAUUGACGUUACCCGCAGAAGAAGCACCGGCUAACUCCGUGCCAGCAGCCGCGUAA
Molecule: ribosomal RNA, 503 nt
Filed under: uncultured bacterium
Lineage: Bacteria
Description: partial 16S ribosomal RNA
Rfam family: Bacterial small subunit ribosomal RNA
Source: RNAcentral